This is a long non-coding RNA of Sinocyclocheilus rhinocerous, 98 nucleotides long. RefSeq lists it as uncharacterized. NCBI's taxonomy places the organism in Eukaryota, Metazoa, Chordata, Actinopteri, Cypriniformes, Cyprinidae. The record is from RefSeq and is a predicted model, not a curated record. The transcript has 3 exons.
UUUUGUAGUCCAUCUGCUGCAGAGACCAAAGUCAUCCAUCAGCGUUCCCCUUUGAGUGGACCAAGCAGAUAUUCAAGAUCAAAAGUCAAAGGAACUCA